RNAcentral lists this long non-coding RNA (1714 nucleotides) under Helianthus annuus (common sunflower). RNAcentral's name for it is "sRNA HanXRQr2_Chr15g0722351". The record is from RNAcentral. Lineage: Eukaryota; Viridiplantae; Streptophyta; Magnoliopsida; Asterales; Asteraceae.
GAUGUGUAAUUCAUGGAGCAGUUACCACUCUGACUUCAAAUCCUGGAAAUCCCCACGAUCACUUAUCUGCCCUAAUUUAUUCUCCCCUUCCAGAGAUCUGUAACAAAAAUCCAUCGGCUAUCUCUCUCACUUUAUCUCAACCGUGUGCCUCAAAAAAUGGAGGAUCAAACAAUUCAGCCGGUACCCGCGGAAAUUGAAGUUAAUUAAGAAGAAUCCGAGGUGAAAAAAUGAAGAACUUAGGAUGGAGGAUGAGAAGAUGAGGAGUUUUACGAGAGGAUUGAAGCUCCUAAGUUUGUUGAUUUAACUAAGGGUAUGUUUGGCUAAGCUUAUUAUCGUUAAAAAGGACUUUUGGAAAAGGACUUUUUGAAAAUGAGUUUUUAAAAAAAGUGUUUGGAUUAGCUUAUUGAUGUAAAAUGACUAAAAUUGAUAUUCUUUUAGAUAUAAGGGGGUAAAGAAGGUGUAUAUUGGUAAUUUGUAGUUUGAAAAGUUAAAAGCUGGCCAAUAAGUCACAAUAUUGUGACUUCUUGAAACCUCCUUUUUCUUUUUUGCAAAAAGCCAUUUCUAAAAGGACUUUUGGCUUAGCCAAACACAAAAACAACUUAUUGGCUUUUUGAUAAGUCAAUAAGCCAAUAAGUUGUUUUGAAAAGCUUAGCCAAACAUGCCCUAAACCCUACAUAUCUACGGUUGGUAUGUUGAUUUUCAUCUUUAGUUUCUUAAUCAUGUGCAUCAUCUCAAUUAGUUCAAAAUCCUAUUUUUUUUAACUAAACGGAUUUUAUAGGUUUAGUAAACAAUUUUGCAGGUGCCAUAAUUGGUUUAUGGUUUUGAGGUUAAGUUUUUUUUAUGGCUUAUUAUUUUACAUGUUCAUGAUAAGCUUUAGCAGUUUAAAUCAAACUCGCGGUUAUUUCAAAACUUUAUUUGGGUUUGUUUCUAUCUUAUUUUCGUGAUUUGGAUUUGAAAAAUGUGCAGACUUUCACUUUUGAUAGGUUUUCAUAUUCUUCUAGGUGCAUCCAUGAUCGUUCAUCUAUAUUUGGGGAGGUGUCAAAUCUGUUAGGUCUCGUAAUGUUGAUAUCGACGAGUGGGAAGAAGGAAAUAUCUGAUAGCAUAAAUUAGCACAAUGACCAGCCCAUGUAUAAUUUCGUAUUUUCAGUAGAUUAUACUUGCCUCUAAAGAUUACUGUCGUUUACAAAUCUGAUUUCAGAUUCAGUUGAGUGAUUAGUGUGAUAUCAAUUACAGUUCUCCCUUCUGCAAAUGGGAUACAUCAUACUCCAAUCACAAAUUAUUGUUGUGCAGUGACGAGUUUGUGAUAGUGCUGGUGGAUAUACCAUCAUCAGCCUCACGUGAGAGAUAGAAAAGCAACCUGGUUAUGCCCUGAAAAAGGAUACAAUUGUUUUUGAGAUGGGCUAUUAUUCAAGGAGUGGCAAUGCUUUUACAUAACAUAUAUCAAACAUACAGACUCUAUACACGUAUUGCCUAGUUGUGUCUUUCAGGGCUGUGCUAUUGGUCAACUAUUUGGUAUGUUGCGAGUUCUUGGUGGAAACAAUGGGAUUUUACAAGGGAUGUUCUUAAUGAGAAGAGUGUGCUGUUUUGUGAUGAUUGUUGAUACAUGCUAUACAUAGGAUGGACUCGUGCCUUAGCGACUUUAAAACUUGAAAGACAAUAAUUGUAUUUAUUUGAUUUGAAAUAAAACGAUGUGUUCAAUAAUUCAAUAAAACGA